Molecule: ribosomal RNA, 253 nt
Filed under: uncultured bacterium
Lineage: Bacteria
Description: partial 16S ribosomal RNA
Rfam family: Bacterial small subunit ribosomal RNA
Source: RNAcentral
UACGUAGGUGGCAAGCGUUGUCCGGAAUUAUUGGGCGUAAAGCGCGCGUAGGCGGCUUUGUAUGUCGAUUGUGAAAGCCCCGGGCUCAACCUGGGAACUGCAGUCGAAACUGCAAAGCUUGAAUGUUGGAGAGGUUGGGGGAAUACCUAGUGGAGAAGUGAAAUUCGUAGAGAUUAGGUGGAACACCAGAGGCGAAGGCGCCUGACUGGCCAAACAUUGACGCUGAGGCGCGAAAGCGUGGGUAGCAAACAGG